ACACUCACUACUAUGUCUUUACAUGCCUGAUUAACUUUAUGAUGACGACUCACACCUGACAUCCUGGGAACAUCCAUCACCAGGCUGGGUGCUUAAGUUUCUAGGGGUCAGGAGGCUGGGCUUGGCUUAACUGGGUCUUCUGCUCAGGAUUUCACAAGGCUGCAAUCAAGGAUACAGUGGACUCCUGUGUAAUGAAGAUCACCUACCCUUCCCGAAGAGCCCCAGUCAUAAUGGAAUUCAGCCACUCCCGAGUCUCACCAGUUUUCAUGGAAAUGGACACUUCACCUGCCCCUAAUUCUCCCUUAUUUGCCGCCACGUCUCUUCCUGGAUUUCUCUGCUGAUCCCCCUUUAUUUAUUUCCUGCCAUUACAAAGCAGCUCAGUGACCAAAACUGAACACAUGUGAGAUUCUAGGCUUAGUUCCCAGUGAAGACCCUCCAAGGACACAUUCCUGCAGCUUACAAUCUUGUCAGGAGCCAGCCUGACCUAAAGUCAAUGGCUCACACCCCACCACCACACCAUUGCCGGUGUUACUGUGCACAGGAAAUGCAAGCAUCUGAACGCACAUGGCUCCAGAGACAUAAGCAUAGCUGGGGGUCUCCGAGAGGCCCCGCCUAGGAUAAUUGCCUCCAUCUGCAGACUGCAGAUGAGCAGCCCUGCUGGAGGCUGCUGGCACCUUUCCAAACCCUUCCCCCAUCCUCUGCUCCAGAACACAUAGUUGACAAACAGCUCAUCGUGUUUGAAAAUGUCGCCGAUUGGUCUCAGUGGGAACCUGCAAGCCUCCUGUGGAUUUUCAUGUUUUAAUUCCAGAAGCAAACAGACAGAAACAAGAUCAGUUUUUCAGACCAAAGCUUUUGCUCUCAGGGGACAGAAUGGCUUGUUUAGGUCUUCCUGAGUCGAGGAGCGAUGUGGGCACGAGGGCCUCAAGAAUCGGUCCUUGGGAUAAGACCCUUGCCAAGGGCUUCUGGAUACAGGAUGGCAGCUCUGUGUCCAGUUUUGGGAUCUUGUUAAAGACCGAAGCCGGAGACCAAAGUAUUGCUCCCCUUGGACAAGUUAGAGAAUUGUAUCCAAUCCAGAAAAUACCCAGAGGGCCUACUAUGUGCCAAUUUGAGCCCUUGUUGACUUGGCAGAGUUAAUGAGUGGAAUCCUGGGUCUGACACUUCUUGGCAGUAUGUGCUGGGCCUCUGCUCUACUCUGCACCUCAGUUUCCUGGUCUGUUAAUUGAGAAUGUUAAUAGGGCAUGCAUCACAGGGCCCUUGGGAAGAUUAAAUGUGAAAGUGCAUGCCAAAUGCCCAGGACACAGCAGCCCUUGCUAUUGUGACCAUCCUCUUAAUCUACCAGGA
This 1341-nucleotide long non-coding RNA is filed under the name Homo sapiens (human). RNAcentral's name for it is "HSALNT0195082". Lineage: Eukaryota; Metazoa; Chordata; Mammalia; Primates; Hominidae. The record is from RNAcentral.